Molecule: long non-coding RNA, 1117 nt
Organism: Numida meleagris (helmeted guineafowl)
Lineage: Eukaryota; Metazoa; Chordata; Aves; Galliformes; Numididae
Exons: 2
Source: RefSeq, a predicted model, not a curated record
ACCGCCGGGCACCGGGGUGGGGAAAACACGGCGUGGGCCUCGCUGCCCCUGCCACUACGGAGCUGCCAACCCCGCUCUGCCGUCAGUAGGGCCCGCAGCGUCUCGUGUCUGGGUGGAGCCGCUUGAAGGCGGCGGGCUCGCACUGCUGAGCGAGGCGAAGUGAGAAAAGCUGCUUCUCAAGGAUUAGCGUGAGAGCCACGUUUCAUUUAUUUCCCUCCAUCGUUGACUGGAACAGGGAGCUGGAGAUGGGAAUUUCAGCCCAAGCAACAGCAUUACGAAGGUACUUUGGUCUUUCUGGCUUGGAGAAAGAUGGGGAUGCUGCUGAAUGCAAGUACUGCAAAGAGGGGGCUCUGGCAUCCUGCAGGAAUCCCUCCAGGCAGACAAAGCCUUCCAUGGCCUCCAGCAGCACCCAGACGCCUACACAGCACAACCUCAGCAUGUGUGCAUGGGGGUGACACCGCAACAUCUGUGCCAAGACCACCCCUUUUCAAUUUCUUGGGUCAGGAUGACAAAAAGCAGUGCAGCAGUACUCAGUUUUCAGCCUGAAAUACGCUGACCACUAGCUGCUUAAAUGAAUGCGUGUCUUCAUAAAAAAUAUGCAGUCCUUGGGUCAGGCAUGAAUUGAAGCUUUGACAUUCAAAGAGGUGAGGUCCUGAGCAGACGCCUGUGCUUCAGCCCGAAGAGAACCCGCCCCCAGCACUCCGACGGGGCUCUGGGUUGUAUUUCUUUCCUGUGCUAAUUUUACUAAAGACACAACUCAUAUUCCUGUUGAUUGAACAGUUUUGUGUUGACAGCAUUGAAGAUUUGUGAUGAAACUUAUCAUCAGCGCCAAGAGCGGGCCAUUAGUACUAGUCACAGCGGCUAGCUGCUACUGAUAUAUUUUAUGGCACGCUUCAAAGACAAACAUACACAUUUAUAUGUCACUUGUUGCAAUAUAAAUGCUAACUUGUACUUCUUUCAAAACUUUUAAUGAAUUGUAUACAUUUCCUGAGAUUUAUAGCGUGAACCAAACUGCUCAAAACAUUACUUUAAACAUAUUUGUCACUUUGGCAACAGAACAAAAAAAAUCUGGAAGAUAUUGCAUUUAGAAAUAAAUCAUAAAUAUAUGCAUCCUAAA